Molecule: ribosomal RNA, 464 nt
Filed under: uncultured bacterium
Lineage: Bacteria
Description: partial 16S ribosomal RNA
Rfam family: Bacterial small subunit ribosomal RNA
Source: RNAcentral
CCUACGGGAGGCUGCAGUGGGGAAUAUUGCGCAAUGGGCGAAAGCCUGAACGAGCAAUGCCGCGUGAACGAGGAAGGUCUUCGGAUCGUAAAGUUCUGUUGAAGGGGAAAAAGAGCGGAGAGAGGAAAUGGUCUCCGAUUGAUAUUACCCUUCGAGGAAGUCACGGCUAACUACGUGCCAGCAGCCGCGGUAAUACGUAGGUGGCGAGCGUUAUCCGGAAUGAUUGGGCGUAAGGGGUGCGUAGGCGGCCUGCUAAGUCUGGAGUGAAAGGUACCGGCUCAACCGGUACAGGCUCUGGAAACUGGCGGGCUAGAGAGCAGGAGAGGGCGGUGGAACUCCAUGUGUAGCGGUAAAAUGCGUAGAUAUAUGGAAGAACACCAGUGGCGAAGGCGGCCGCCUGGCCUGUUACUGACGCUGAGGCACGAAAGCGUGGGGAGCAAAUAGGAUUAGAUACCCCUGUAGUC